GAUGAACGCUAGCGGGAGGCCUAACACAUGCAAGUCGAACGGGAUUGGGAGCUUGCUCCCAUGAGAGUGGCGCACGGGUGAGUAACGCGUAUGCAACCUACCUUUAACUGAGGGAUAGCCCAUAGAAAUGUGGAUUAAUACCUCAUAGUUCUAUUAGAUCGCAUGAUUUGAUAGAUAAAGCUCCGGCGGUUAAAGAUGGGCAUGCGUGACAUUAGUUAGUUGGUGAGGUAACGGCUCACCAAGACUACGAUGUCUAGGGGUUCUGAGAGGAUGACUCCCCACACUGGUACUGAGACACGGACCAG
Molecule: ribosomal RNA, 305 nt
Filed under: uncultured bacterium
Lineage: Bacteria
Description: bacterial SSU rRNA
Rfam family: Bacterial small subunit ribosomal RNA
Source: RNAcentral